AAUGAACGCUGGCGGCGCGCCUAAUACAUGCAAGUCGAGCGAGAAGACGUAGCAAUACGUUUGUAAAGCGGCGAACGGGUGAGGAAUACAUGGGUAACCUACCCUCGAGUGGGGAAUAACUAGCCGAAAGGUUAGCUAAUACCGCGUACGCUCCUUGGACUUCGGUUCAGGGAGGAAAGCGAUACCGUGGGUAUCGCGCUCUUGGUUGGGCUCAUGUCCUAUCAGCUUGUUGGUGAGGAACGGCUCACCAAGGCUUCGACGGGUAGCUGGUCUGAGAGGACGAUCAGCCACACUGGCACUGCGACACGGGCCAGACUCCUACGGGAGCAGCAGUAAGGAUAUUGCGCAAUGGGCGAAAGCCUGACGCAGCGACGCCGCGUGGGGGAUGAAGGUCUUCGGAUUGUAAACCCCUUUCGGGAGGGAAGAUGGAACGAGCAAUCGUUCGGACGGUACCUCCAGAAGCAGCCACGGCUAACUUCGUGCCAGCAGCC
This 491-nucleotide ribosomal RNA is filed under the name uncultured bacterium. Its description in RNAcentral is "bacterial SSU rRNA". It matches the Rfam family "Bacterial small subunit ribosomal RNA", at positions 29 to 516 of the family's 1533-position model. The record is from RNAcentral.